RNAcentral lists this ribosomal RNA (440 nucleotides) under uncultured bacterium. RNAcentral describes it as "partial 16S ribosomal RNA". It matches the Rfam family "Bacterial small subunit ribosomal RNA", at positions 338 to 795 of the family's 1533-position model. The record is from RNAcentral.
CCUACGGGUGGCAGCAGUGGGGAAUAUUGCACAAUGGGCGCAACCCUGAUGCAGCGACGCCGCGUGAGUGAAGAAGUCAUUCGUUAUGUAAAGCUCUAUCAGCAGGGAAGAAAAUGACGGUACUUGAGUAAGAAGCCCCGGCUAACUACGUGCCAGCAGCCGCGGUAAUACGUAGGGGGCAAGCGUUAUCCGGAUUUACUGGGUGUAGAGGGAGCGUAGACGGCAGUGCAAGUCUGGAGUGAAAGGCGGGGGCUCAACCCCCGGACUGCUCUGGAAACUGUACGUCUGGAGUGCAGGAGAGGUAAGUGGAAUUCCUAGUGUAGCGGUGAAAUGCGUAGAUAUUAGGAGGAACACCAGUGGCGAAGGCGGCUUACUGGACUGUAACUGACGUUGAGGCGCGAAAGCGUGGGGAGCAAACAGGAUUAGAUACCCGAGUAGUC